Molecule: ribosomal RNA, 253 nt
Filed under: uncultured bacterium
Lineage: Bacteria
Description: partial 16S ribosomal RNA
Rfam family: Bacterial small subunit ribosomal RNA
Source: RNAcentral
UACGGGGGGGGCAAGCGUUGUUCGGAAUUACUGGGCGUAAAGCGCUCGUAGGCGGCCAACUAAGUCAGACGUGAAAUCCCUCGGCUUAACCGGGGAACUGCGUCUGAUACUGGAUGGCUUGAGUUUGGGAGAGGGACGCGGAAUUCCAGGUGUAGCGGUGAAAUGCGUAGAUAUCAGGAAGAACACCAAUGGCGAAGGCAGCUCUCUGGGACGGUACUGACGCUGAGACGCGAAAGCGUGGGGAGCGAACAGG